AUUGAACGCUAGCGGGAUGCUUUACACAUGCAAGUCGAACGGCAGCGCGGACUUCGGUCUGGCGGCGAGUGCGAACGGGUGAGUAAUGUAUCGGAACGUGCCCCGUAGCGGGGGAUAACUAAGCGAAAGCGUAGCUAAUACCGCAUACGCCCUACGGGGGAAAGCAGGGGAUCGUAAGACCUUGCACUAUUGGAGCGGCCGAUAUCGGAUUAGCUAGUUGGUGAGGUAACGGCUCACCAAGGCGACGAUCCGUAGCUGGUUUGAGAGGACGACCAGCCACACUGGGACUGAGACACAGCCCAGACUCCUACGGGAGGCAGCAGUGGGGAAUUUUGGACAAUGGGGGCAACCCUGAUCCAGCCAUCCCGCGUGUGCGAUGAAGGCCUUCGGGUUGUAAAGCACUUUUGGCAGGAAAGAAACGUCGCGGGCUAAUACCCCGUGGAACUGACGGUACCUGCAGAAUAAGCACCGGCUAACUACGUG
Molecule: ribosomal RNA, 483 nt
Filed under: uncultured bacterium
Lineage: Bacteria
Description: partial 16S ribosomal RNA
Rfam family: Bacterial small subunit ribosomal RNA
Source: RNAcentral